AUAAGCGGAGGAAAAGAAACCAACAGGGAUUGCCUUAGUAACGGCGAGUGAAGCGGCAAAAGCUCAAAUUUGAAAUCUGACACCUCUGGUGUUCGAGUUGUAAUUUGGAGAGGCAUCUUCUGGAGGGGCCCAGCCUAUGUGCCUUGGAACAGGACGUCAUAGAGGGUGAGAAUCCCGUACUUGGCUGGAUGUUCCCUCCUGUAUGUAGUGUCUUCUACGAGUCGAGUUGUUUGGGAAUGCAGCUCAAAAUGGGUGGUAAAUUUCAUCUAAAGCUAAAUAUUGGCGAGAGACCGAUAGCGCACAAGUAGAGUGAUCGAAAGAUGAAAAGCACUUUGAAAAUAGAGUCAAACAGUACGUGAAAUUGUUGAAAGGGAAGCGCUUAGGACCAGACCUGGGGAAUAGCAAACAAUCGCCCACCGGGGCGGUGCACUUGUUAGCUCCUCGGGCCAGCAUGGGUUGGGACGGUGGGAUAAAGACUCGGGAAAUGUGACUCCUUCGUGGAGUGUUAUAGUCCCGGGUGGCAUGCCAUCAGUCCCGACUGUGGAACGCGCACCGGCACGGAUGCUGGG
This 569-nucleotide ribosomal RNA is filed under the name Tuber mexiusanum. RNAcentral describes it as "eukaryotic LSU rRNA". It matches the Rfam family "Eukaryotic large subunit ribosomal RNA", at positions 46 to 630 of the family's 3401-position model. Lineage: Eukaryota; Fungi; Ascomycota; Pezizomycetes; Pezizales; Tuberaceae. The record is from RNAcentral.